AGGCCAAGCUACCGGUGCUGCCGGCGGCGGCGGCGGCGGCGGGCGCCGGAAGCACGAACGGCGAACGGCUAAGGCACCUGCCUCUCGGGACUCGGGGACCAGCGGCAGAAUCUUCUCCGGGCGGCCCUUUUCUCUUGCCCCAGUGGCCUCUGCUGCAAACUCCGCACAAAUGCCGCGCCCCGCUGAGCCUCCCAGUUCUCGCCGCCGGCGAUAUGUGUAGGUAUCGUCACAGAAUUUAGUGCUACAUCUGUAUGAUCAGAAGAACUGACAACCAAUGACAAGUAGCGGAAGUUUCCAAUGGUUUCAUGCAAAUAUUGAGUAUUUAUUCUCAAGAAAUCUCCUCCAGAAACAAAAUGUACCAGAUCAUGGAUAAGAUCAUGUGUGACAAAGCAUUCCAGUUUUUCAUCAGAUUCUGCUCGUUGAAUCAUUGCCCUCUGAAUUAAAUCAUCGAAGUACAUCCUGCCAAUGUUUUCAUGGCGCCCAGUACAAUAUUGCUUGAGGAGUCCCAAACACAUCCAGAGAUUUAUCAUGUCUUCUUUCCAGAAAUAGUACCCCUUAGGGAGCAGUGAAAGGAAAACAAAGCAGCGCUUCAAUUGUACUGGCAUUCGAUCAUAGCUGAGUUUUAGUGCUGGCAGCACUCGAUCCUCUUCCGCAGAUUGCUCAUGUAUUAUUGAGAGAAACAAAUUGCUUGGGAGCUUAUCUUUUUAUACAAGAAACUUUGAGAGGAGGCCUCUGCAAUUUGGAAGCUUUAUUUCAUCAAAGAAGAAACACAGACUAUUUUUUCUGAUAAACCAAAUGUAGCAUUGGUUAUAGCUAGGAUAAGGGGAUAAUAUUACCUUCUUGUCACCUUUGCGCUUGCGCUUGCGACUUCUGCUGCUCUGCCUUUGAUUGCUUUGGUCCUCCAUCCUCCGUCGAAGCAACUCAUACCUGUAUUCAUCGACAGCAUCCUGGGCAUCAUAUGCAAGCUGCUGCAGCUCCCACAGGCGAAGUCUCUCGGCUUCAUCUCUUAUAUUGUGUUCAUCCAUCGCAUCGAGGGUCCGCUGAAUCCUUGCCAUCGUCCUCUGCAGAUCUCUUAGAUCUCUGAACGAAGCACUUUGCUCGUCAGAUGAUGAUGAAACGAUUUGAGGAGAAACCAAGGAAGAAAGCUUGUUUGUUGUCCACUUUAUGAUUCCAGAUGCUAGUAGUCCAGCCAUCUCUUCUCAACUGCUCUUUCUGAUCCAAAGACAGAGUUAGACCAAGCUGAGAGAUGAAUCAGAUUAACAAGGCAAGAGGAACAUAUAGAAGUUCAGGGUGUUGACCUUGUGGACAAGUGCAAUGCAAUUUUUAAUGCACAAGCUGUGGUUUCCAACCUCCUUACAACAAGAGGCAUAUAUUGGUUUUCAACCAAUUCCUGUUAUUAUGUUUCCAACCUCCUUACAACAAGAGGCAUAUAUUGGUUUUCAACCAAUUCCUGUUAUUAUAGUGUCAAAACUGCAUAACUGCGCACACAGUACCACUAGCUGAAAUGCAUUAUCUGCUCUUUUUUUUUUUGCGGGGAAAUGCAUUGUCUGCGUGGACACAUCAUUUCAGAAUAUCAAUGUAAUGCUCAGAACUAUUCUUGUAUGGUGACAUGC
Molecule: small RNA, 1613 nt
Filed under: Oryza sativa Japonica Group (Japanese rice)
Lineage: Eukaryota; Viridiplantae; Streptophyta; Magnoliopsida; Poales; Poaceae
Description: sRNA Os03g0579800
Source: RNAcentral